This 595-nucleotide ribosomal RNA is filed under the name uncultured bacterium. Its description in RNAcentral is "bacterial SSU rRNA". It matches the Rfam family "Bacterial small subunit ribosomal RNA", at positions 263 to 858 of the family's 1533-position model. The record is from RNAcentral.
GCCUACCAAGGCUACGAUCAGUAGGGGUUCUGAGAGGAUUAACCCCCACACUGGUACUGAGACACGGACCAGACUCCUACGGGAGGCAGCAGUGAGGAAUAUUGGUCAAUGGGCGGAAGCCUGAACCAGCCAUCCCGCGUGAAGGAAGACAGCCUUACGGGUUGUAGACUUCUUUUCUGUCAGAAGAAUAAGCUUGUCGAGACGAGUGAUGCCGGUAUGACAGGAAUAAGCAUCGGCUAACUCCGUGCCAGCAGCCGCAGUAAUACGGAGGAUGCAAGCGUUAUCCGGAUUUAUUGGGUUUAAAGGGUGCGCAGGUUGUUUGAUAAGUCAGUGGUGAAAGUCUGUCGCUUAACGGUAGGAUUGCCAUUGAUACUGUUGGACUUGAAUAUGGAUGAGGUAGGCGGAAUGUGUAGUGUAGCGGUGAAAUGCAUAGAUAUUACACAGAACACCGAUUGCGAAGGCAGCUUACUAAUCCAUCAUUGACGCUGAGGCACGAAAGCGUGGGGAUCAAACAGGAUUAGAUACCCUGGUAGUCCACGCCGUAAACGAUGAUCACUCGCUGUUUGCGAUAUACAGUAAGCGGCUAAGCGAAAGC